ACAUGUUAUAAUAGUUUUGUUUGUGGAAACACCACGUAAAUUUAUUACUGCAGUAAUAAAUUUACGUGGUGUUUCCACAAACAAAACUAUUAUAUAUUUUAUCGCCAUGC
Molecule: non-coding RNA, 110 nt
Organism: Paramuricea clavata
Lineage: Eukaryota; Metazoa; Cnidaria; Anthozoa; Malacalcyonacea; Plexauridae
Source: the annotation of a GenBank genome assembly